AAUCUUCCACAAUGGGCGAAAGCCUGAUGGAGCAACGCCGCGUGGGUGAAGAAGGUCUUCGGAUCGUAAAAUUCUGUUAUAAGGGAAGAAAGGUGAUAGGAGGAAAUGACUAUCAAUUGACGGUAUCUAACCAGAAAGCCACGGCUAACUACGUGCCAGCAGCCGCGGUAAUACGUAGGUGGCAAGCGUUAUCCGGAUUUAUUGGGCGUAAAGGGAACGCAGGCGGUCUUUUAAGCCUGAUGUGAAAGCCUUCGGCUUAACCGGAGUAGUGCAUUGGAAACUGGGAGACUUGAGUGCAGAAGAGGAGAGUGGAACUCCAUGUGUAGCGGUGAAAUGCGUAGAUAUAUGGAAGAACACCAGUGGCGAAAGCGGCUCUCUGGUCUGUAACUGACGCUGAGGUUCGAAAGCGUGGGUAGCA
RNAcentral lists this ribosomal RNA (418 nucleotides) under uncultured bacterium. RNAcentral's name for it is "bacterial SSU rRNA". It matches the Rfam family "Bacterial small subunit ribosomal RNA", at positions 360 to 770 of the family's 1533-position model. The record is from RNAcentral.